RNAcentral lists this long non-coding RNA (22150 nucleotides) under Aquilegia coerulea. RNAcentral describes it as "long non-coding RNA (ACOE_LNC000310)". The record is from RNAcentral. Lineage: Eukaryota; Viridiplantae; Streptophyta; Magnoliopsida; Ranunculales; Ranunculaceae.
AUACAUUGAAAGCUACUAUAAAAUACCCCAGUACCCCAUUACAGCACAAUCCAUCUAUUAAUGACGCAUAUGUUAUAAUAUCUGGAUUCUGCCCGCAGUUUUGCAUAUCUUCGAAAAGCUGUUGAGCAACCUCGACUCUUCCAGCCUUGCAUAGGCCAUCAAUAAGGAUGCUCCAUGUAACCACAUCGGGAGUCAAUCCUAUGUCAUUCAUAUCUUGGAAAAGUAGCACAGCCUCAUCAACUCUCUUAGCCUUGCAAUACCCAUUAAUGAAACUGUUAUAGGUUACAACAUUAGGUUUCAGACCUCUACCCAGCAUUGAAUUGAAAACUCUUAUUGCCUCUUCUAUUUGACCUCUUAGACAAUAUCCAUCUAUUAACGCAUUGUAUGUGACUGUGUUAGGCAUAAUAUUUGUUUCACUCAUAAGCUCUAAUAGUUCACUUCCUUCUUUAGCCAUACCAUCCUUGCAAAGAGUAUCUCAUUCUUGAAUCAAUCUGCAUUCCAAGACUUACAAAAUGAAGCAGAAGAAGAGUUUGGACUUUGGACAUGAUCAUCUCAUGGGUGCACUUACAAUUCCAUGCAACGAGUAGUUUGCUGGAAGGAAAAUUAGUUAAACAAGUACUAACAAUGAACAACCAACACAAUUUGCCUAUCAAGUUUUGUACAGUAAGGAAUACAAAAAAUUAUAUCUUCACUAUGUUUGGUUCCCGGAAACUAGAGUCCAGGGUAAAUUGGGAAUUAAGAGAAAUAUCAGCCGGAGAAGAUCAGACAAGGAAAGGAGAAGGGUGCUAGAACAAAGAUAGAGAUGUACCCAAGUGAAUAGUUGCAUUUGUAUAUGAAAACAGUAUUCAAUUUCAACAGAACAUCAUCUGAUAAUACACUACAAGAUGCCAGAUGCAAGAUCAAUUGUGAUUAUCCGCCGAAAUGACUUAACAAACGCAACAUCAUGCUAAGGAGUUUCAUGGAAAACGUCACCUUCAUUUCUCACUUCAGGAAGAAUUCACGAAAUAUGCCUAUACUUUCAUGAUUCGAUUCAUUCACCAAAAGAAAAUCCAUCACCAUAGACGCGGUUGUUGCAUCCCCAGAGAAACCUCUCUCAUCCAUAACCUCAAGAAAUUCCACUGCUUUACGAGUUACAAGUCCUACUAUCUGGAGCAAAACCCUUCUCCUCCAUCUCUGCAAAUAAACUCUCAGCAUCACUUAACAUCCCUUUAUUACAAAAUCCAUUGAUCAUUAUAUUAUACGUUCUUGUGUCAAGCUGCAAAUCCUUUGUUGAGAGACCGCGAAAUAGUUCCAUUGCCUCAUUUAACUUCCCCGCCUUGCACAUAUUGUCGAUGAUGAUGUUGUAGAUUACCAUAUUUGCCUUUAAUCCAGUGCUCUCCAUCUUAUGAAACAGUUUCAUUGCUUCUGAAAGACAUCCAUUACAGCACAAUCCAUCUAUCAAUGAAGCGUACGUUAUAAUAUCUGGAAUUUGCCCACAGUUUUGCAUAUCUUCGAAAAACUGUUGAGCAACCUCGACUCUUCCAGCCUUGCAUAGCCCAUCAAUAAGGAUGUUGCUUGUAACAACAUUGGGAAACAAUCCUAUGUCAUUCAUAUCUUGGAAAAGUAGCAUGGCCUCAUCAACUCUCCUAGCCUUGCAAUACCCAUUAAUGAAACUGUUAUAGGUUAUAACAUUAGGUUUCAGACCUCUACCCAGCAUUGAAUUGAAAACUCUUAUUGCCUCUUCUCUUAAACAAUAUCCAUCUAUUAACGCAUUGUAUGUGACUGUGUCAGGCAUAAUAUCUGUUUCACUCAUAAGCUCUAAUAGUUCACUUCCUUCUUUAGCCAUACCAUCCUUGCAAAGAGCAUCCACCAAUAUGUUAUAUGUUUGCACAUCCGGCGAGAAUCCUUGACUGAUGAUAUCACUGAAGAAUUGAGUUGCUUUUUCGUGCUGACCCGAAAUGCAUAAGCCAUAAAUUAAAGAAUUAUAUGUAGCAGCAGUAGCCUUUACACCUUUUUGACGCAUCAAAUCUAAUAUCUGAAAUGCUUCAUCAGCUCUCUUUUCUUUGCAAAGAGCAUCAAUCAGAAUAGUAUAAGUGAACACAUCUGGUUUGAUUCCCUUAUCCAGCAUAUCUUGAAACACAUAUUUGGCCCCUUUAUGAUGACCAAUCUUGCAUAGUCCAUCAAUUAAAGAGCUGUAAGUAACGACAUCUGGUAUGAUUCCUUGGCUCUUGGUCAUUUCUUGAUAAAGAUGGAGAGCAUCCUGUAAUCUAAUUUCCUUGCAAAGUGUGUCGAUAAUCGCGCUAUACCCUUGAACAUUAGGUUUAAGGUCUCGUUUUUGCAAUUCCCUCAACAACUUAAGGGCAGUAUCAGCAUUGGUAGUUUUGCAUAAACCAUUAAUGACAACAACAAAAGUGACUUGAUCGCAUAGACAUCCGUUGUCCAAAAUUGCAUGGAACAAAUUCAAAGCUUUGGUUGUUUUCCCCACCAUAAAAAGUCCCUUGAGAAGAGUGGUUAAAGUGACAGAAUUUGGCUCAAAACCAUGUCUGAGAAUAUACCCUAAAACACAAAAUCCGAGAUCUACGCGACCCAAUUGGCAGUAACAAUUGAUCAGGAUGCUAAAAGUAAAAAUAUCAGGCUGAAUCCCAGCUGAAUUCAUGGUUUUAAACAAAGAAAAUACUAAAGUCUUGUGAUGAUGGGAAUGGGAAUGGGAAUGGGAUUGGGAUUGGGGUGGGUUCAAUUUAGCAAUGGCGUUAAGAAGAUUAUUAAAAGGGAGAGGGGAUGUCAAAUGUCGUGUUUGAAGUAAGCAUUUAAAUAAAUCCAAAGCUUCAUCAAGCUUAAGGGUACCAGAUUUACAACGUUCUCCAACCAAUUUCUCAAUAGGAAUGUAAGAAGAAGAAGAUGAGUGGUUUGCAUUUGUUGUAGUAUUAAAACGAAAAUGCAAGAAAGAAGAAGCAGAGAUGAAUAUCAUAGGUGUAGUACUAGUGAUAAUAUCAAUUACCUUUGGCUUUGAUAAGUAGAAGAAUAAGACUCCAAUAGUUGCUUUUCUUCUCAGCAUCAUCGUCGCCAUUAAUAAAAUUGUUAAUGAAAGCACUGUCGUUGCUGCUCUUCUCUUGAACACUUUUACUUAGUCCAAGCACGUGACCUGCACAUUCAUGGGCCACGAGGGACUGGACUCAGCCCAGACAGCAUGUGACUGGAUAGUACUGGAGGUUGAUCUCCAAUAUAUAUAUAUACUAGUAAAACCCGUGGCGCUGCCACGACUACCAUUAAUAAUUUGAAGAUAGUUAUAUUAAAAAUAUUAUUCUAACUCAAUAUUGAGAUAUUAAAAAUGAAUAUAUUAAACUCUUAAAAAUAUUUAUUCUUCUAAAACAGAUAAUCAUGUACCUUACAUAAUAAUAUUUAUGAUUUUCUCAAAAUAAUAAAAAUAAAUUAUAUCAUUGUUGUUGAUCUUCCCAUUGUUGUUGUAAUUCUCUAUUUUGACGUUUGACUUCUCUUAUGUAGUAUCUGUAAUAAUAUAAUUUUGAGGGCCAAAACUACUUACUCCAUUUGUCGCCUUCGCAGUGAUGUUCAACUGUUGUGGAUGUUUGUUUUUCUCAAUGUAUACAUGCUUAAUUCUAUUGGUAUCACUUUUAUUCUUGCUUGUGCGUUACUUCUCAUUGCUCCCCAUUUGCUUUGGGUUUUUUUUCUUCUUCUGGACAUUUUUUCAUUCACCUUCCCACUUAUCUUUUUUCCUCCCUAUUAUUGUUGGUUGUUUUUCACAGCUAUUGUCAAUGUGACCAAAUAACUUGCAUUUGGUGCAAAUCAUAGGUUUACAUGGAUAAUCAAAGUGCACCCCCAUAUUUUUCCCCUUCUUGGUCUUCAUUUUGAUUGAACUAGGGAGGGGUUUUUUUUCUGCAUUGAUCUCCACGUACACAUACUCUUGCAAAUGAGAGCAUAUUUUUACUUUUAGUAACCUUACCAAUAAACUUUGGUUUCCCUAUUAUACUUGCCAAAGAGUUCAAUCCCUUAUUGUGCCACAUAUGCUUUGGAACAUUAAACACUCUUACCCAAAUAGGAACCUUGUUGAUUGAACCUCUGUUUUUCUUCAACAUCUCUGCUCCAAGGUCUCACAACAAACAACUUCCCUACAAUAAAAAUGGGUCAUUCCUCCAUACUUUAGUAUAAAUUAGGGUUCACAGAUGGUUUUUUUCUUUAUUAGGGUUCAGAGAUCAACCGAAAAUUUAACCAAACAACAUUAUAAAAUGGCCAACAUUAUAAAAAUACAACAUACUUUCACAAAUUUUUCAAUUUAUACAAUAUACUAAAAAUCACGUCAAAACAUCAAUGUACUUUGAAAAAAAAAUUCACGUUAUGCAAUCUGUCUAAAACUGGGUAACGGACUACUUACAUGGCUAAUAAUUAUCUAUGUGUACGUAUUUUUUUAUUUUAAAAAAAAUGUUGAGUUGUAAAACUAAAACCAUCAGACAUCAUCUACUUUAAAACGUGUCAUCAGAUCAUGUCAAGUUUAUAUAUAAACCGUCCAUUAAUCCCGACCAAAUUUCGUGCCAUCUUUCUUUUAUCUUCUUCUUAUCAUGUAGUUUGGAAUCUUCGUUUGCUUCAAUAAUCUUUUGUAUCAUUUUGUCAUCUCUCCAAUUGUAUUAUUAAGAUAUGAAAUUCUCAUCUUUAAGUGUCCAUUAAGUCUUCAAUUCUUCAUGCUCAUAGUACAAUUCUUGAUGACCGAGUUUUGGUUUUUUGUAGAUUCCACAACUGCAAGAACGAGAAGAAUUAACACUAAAAGAUGAAGACAUAGAAGCUAGGGUUUGAAAUUGAAUUGGGGAUUUGGAAGCUAGGGUUAAAGAUUUGGGGAUUUUUAUAUUUGUUGAAUCAAAUUGUUAAAAUAUGGAAGAAGGGGGUCAAUCACGUGAGAAACAUGUGCCUCACUUUUGAUGUGUUGGAAAUUUUGUUAAAGUUUUUUUAAAAAAAAAAAAUACACAUAGAUAAUUAUUAGCCAUGUAAGCAGUCUGUUAGUCAGUUUAAGACAGAUUGCAUAACGUGAAAUGUUUUCCAAAGUACAAUGAUGUUUUUGCGUGAUUUUUAGUACAUUGUAUAAAGUUUGUGAAAGUACGUUGUAUUUUUUGAUCAUUUAACCUUUACAAACUAGUGGGCAUUAUUCAAAGUCUGUACGAUUUUUUAGCUAGAUAGUUGGUUGCAUUAUUGGCUUGCCUAAGUACAUGGUUACAGACAAUAUUACUGCCUUGCAACAGAGAUUUAUAGUCAACUACUAUGUUCCGGUAGCUCCACCCAUAUGUACACCUAUCAUAUAAGCUUUGUACAACAAAAGUAGAGUCUGUUUCAAUGAUCACUGUAGACCACUGCAAAUGCUUUAGUAAUAGCAGUCCUUCAUUUUUAAUGCCCACCAUUCAACUAAAUCAUUUAGAGCAACAUCCAUUGAAUUUGGAGAACCCUUCAAAGAAUUUCCCAAACUCAUUUCUAAUAACAAUACCAAUACAUGAAUAUUCACCAUUGCAAGAGCCAUCGAUGUUCAUUUUACGCCAGGUUGGUGGAGGGGGAGGAUAUCCUAGCUAGAUGUAUGACUGGUUGUAUAGCUUGACAAUGUAUGAAGAGGUGGUCAAUAUCUUCUUGAUGGGUAGAGCACAGUGCACGUAUAUAAAAUGUUCAUUUUGGUCAUUGUACUUUACACAUCUUUGCAGUUUGGUCAUAAAAGUUAUUUUUUAUCAGUUUGAUCGUAAAACUUACAUUCCGUUAUCAGUUCAGUCACAAGUUAAGUCAUCGUUAAGAGCAACUCUUUUGACCAAACUGACUGAACUAAUAACGGAAUGUAACUUUUAUGACCAAACUGACAAGAAAAAAAUGUUGUGACCAAACUGCAAAAACGUGCAAAGUACAAUAACCAAAAUGAACAUUUUCUGCACGUAUAGGAUCAAUAUCUGACAAUUUAACUGAUUAAAACAUCCUAGUAGGAGGCUUGUUAUGCAAUACCAGCAACAAAAAGAUUUUAGUUUUAGUGGGGCACUUAAAUUUCCACAGCUUUUUCCAUUGGGAUAUUGGUGCGAUGUGUGAAACAAAUUUGGUAGCUAGAAAGUUAUAUAAGGACUUCACAUUUACCUCACCUAUGUUGUCCAGUGCUCACUGUAAAGUGUUUGGUUGGCAUGUGUGUGUUGGGAUGGUAAUAAUGGACUAAAGAGAAGGGGAAAGUGGAAUAUAGCCUCCUCUGGUUCCAGUGACCAUUUGUUAUUUUUUUUUCUUGUGUUAUUAGAUAAUUGACACUUACUUACUAUAGAUACAUUUUAGACAAUGCAUUCUAUGGUAUUAUAUUUGUUCAAUUGUUUUUUAUUGAAAACUAGGGAUUUUACUUUAUCAUCAAAAUUUUAGAUCCCAAAAAUUGAAUUCGUGUUGUAAUAACUUUUUACAUAUAGCAGGUUCCAAGUGUUUAAAAGGAUGACGAGAAUACAUUGCUCACCAAGAAAUGUAAAUUAUUUCUUUUUAUUAAUAAUCAAUUCUGCAUACAGAAAAAUUAGAAAAAUUAAUAUUUGAAGAAAUAUACUUGUUAUUUAUUUUUAUUUUUAUUUUUUGAUAAAAGCAGAAAUUUUAUUAAAAUCAUCAAUCCAAGAAUACACCCCUGAACAGUAUGCAAAAGUGCACUGUCAGGUUAACACAGCAAACCACUAAAGCAUACAUGUGCUAUGAAAAAAUAAAAGAGAAAAGAAAGACAUAGCAACAGGUUGUUAUUGUUAUAGUUAUAUUUUGGGUUAUGUUAAAACAAACAGUAAAUUAUUGUAGUUAUUGAUAUUUUCGUAUGUCAAGUCUAUUUUUAUUUUUUUCUUAAUUUUAAAUUAUGAAGGCCCCAUUUUGGAGCUUGCAUCUAGCCCCAAAAUUGCUUAAACUGCCACUAAAUAAGAGCGAGCUUAGUUGGUUAGUCAUCAACUCAGCACUGCUGCUGACUGUUGUGAUGUCUUAGGUUAAUAAGAGCUUGAUUAGAUUCAACCCAUCCAUAACAGCUUAGUGACUUUUUCAUCAACAUUUAUUUGCCUUUGUAAGGUUUGGUUCGAUCUAUUUCAAACCAUUGGACCUAAAUACAGUUGUACCGUAUAUUGUUCGAAUUUUUUGAUUCGUCCAUUUUCUUUUUUCAUGCGAAUCCAGUAUUGUAGUGUGUUGACAUAUAUCCGAUGAGUAUGUUGAUAGAGAAUGGAUUUCGUGAUAAGUUGGUCUAAAGCUGGACCAUAAUGUUGGACUGUUGGAGCAACUUUCUUUGCAAACAAAGGCAAUUAGGAAUGAAUUUCUUUAUAAGGAAGGAAGUUCCUAAAUAAAAGUUUUCUAUAAAAAGAGAAGUAGUAUGUAGAAAAAAAAAUGGAUAACAAUGUCAUGAUUGUUGUUCGAAUGAAUAUGCUUUCUGAAGGAUUGGUUUUGUGUUGUCCAGUUUUUGUUAUUUUCAGUUUUGAUAUCAUAUAGAAAAACAAUCAUAACUUUCUGCGCAAUGAUUGGAAUUGCAAUCUGUCUUUUGGGUUGGAAAGAGGACGCUCUCAACUUUCCAAUGGUAUAUGGCAAACCUUAUGGUUCACAUUAAUUUUUUUGAAAACUACCUCUAAAGUUCUUACAGGAAAAGUGCCUCUAGACAGCAGUUUUAAAAGAUUUAUUGCCUCUGGACAAUCAAGUGUCUAUGGACAUAUUUUGAGCCCAUGACGUGAUAAAGCCUAAUUUUUUCUUGUAACACUAUAUAAGAUCAUUAUAGUGUCACAUCAAGCAAAAGUCUAAGGGAGUUUUUAGAGAUCAAAACUUUGAGAUUUAAGGUUUAGAGGCUUGUGAAACUUGGGAGCAAUCUCUAUUAGGGGAUUUCUAGGUUUGUGUUCUUCUUGUAAAGGGUGUGAGAAUGAGUUGUAUGAGAUCUCAUCUUAUAAUCCUUUUGGUGGAAGAUAAUAAAGUUCUUUAUUUUAUUUGUGGUGGUUUAUUCUCUGUGAGGGUUCCAUCAUGUAUAUCUUGUGUAUUGGUUUCGUUUUUUUAUUAUCAGUAUUUGUUUCUUCUAAAUCUUGGGUUAUUCCGCACUUUGGGUUUAUUGAAUUAUCAUCAAUUUUCCAAAUAUUUUGCUAUUCAGAAAGGGUUUGCUUGUUUGUCCUCCACUUUUGUGUAAUUCUUUGAGCUUAUCCGUAAAACUUUCGAAUAUAAAAAAAAAUAAAAAAAUAAAAAAAAAAUUUGCUUUUUCAGACUUUUGGAAAUUACUUCCUAAUUUUCUUAUGUUCAUUGUCGAACAAACUUUUGAGUUCUUUACCAAAUCGGGCCUUCGAAAGUAAGAAGUUGGAAGUAAUAAGCAACAUCUGAAAACGAGUGCGAUUUUGUGGACAUACAGUUUUUUUCUGUCCACAAGACAGCAUUAUAUUAUUGGUCCACCUCAUAAAAACUUCCACAUCGGCUUUUCUAAUAUCAGGAAUUUAAAAAUAAAAAUAAAAACAAAAGAAAUUAAAAAAACGAAUAUUAAAAAAAAAAAAUUAAAAAACAGAAAUUGUUAAAACCCACGAACAAAAAAAAAAAAAAAAGGGUUUCUCUCUGAACCUCAUCUUCCUCUUCCCCAUUUACACAUUGAAUCUAGGGUUUUUAUUCUUUCUCAUCCUAUUUCUUUUGUGUUCAAAAACUUUGCGAACCAGAAACAAAAAGAACAAUAUAAUGGAGGUAAACUUAAACUCUUCUCUUUAAAUUCCCCUAAACUCCAUUGUUUUGUUCAAACAAUUUUCUUAGAAUUUGUUAUUAUUCAAAAUUAUAUAUAUGUUUUGCAUCGAUUUUUAUGUACUUUUAACAGAGUGUUUAACAAUCCAGAGUUGUGUUCAUAAAAAAGAUGCGGAAAUCAAGGGUUGCACUCUAUCAGAAGAUUCGCAAGAAAAAAAUCCAAUAGAUGUUGAUGCAUCUGAUAAUAAGAAUGUUAAGGAUACUACUUCUAAAAUUCAAGGUGAAUCAGCUGCUACGUUGGAUGAAAAUUUGAUCCCAAAGAUCGUCUUGAUAUUUGAAAACUUGAAAGAUGCGUAUAAUUACUACAAUGAAUAUGCAAGAACAGUUGGGUUUAGCAUAAAAAUAAAGAGAACAAAUAAACAUCGUCACGAUCCUGAGAAAAUAGUACUUCAAACGUUAUGUUGUUCAUGUGAAGGUACUUAUACAAAGAUCAACACUCCAAGAAAGAGAAGAGAAGAAAGACAAUUUGGAUGUCUGGCAAAAUUUGAGAUUAAGCUGAAUAAGGACGAGAAAUUUGAGUUGACAAAAUUCGUAGUUGAGCACACUCAUGAGCUUGCCCCUCCUACUUGUUCGUAUUUGUUGAGAUCUCAUAGAGGUGUGAAAAAAUCUCAAGCUGGAAUUAUGAAGAAAAUGCAUUCAUCCGGACUUCAACCGUCAGAUAUAUAUUACUACUUUUGUGCAGAAGCUGGUGGAGCUGAACACGUCAACUUCAGUCAAUCUGAUUGCAACAAUUUAUUACAAAGGGGGCGGAUUGAAAUUCUCAAGAAAGGUGAUGCACAAUGUCUCCUUGAAUAUUUUAAGCAAAAGAAACAAGAAAACAAGCAUUUCUAUUACAACAUUCUGACUAACGAAGAAAGUGAGAUACGCGGUAUCUUCUUUUGCGAUGCAUUGUCUAGGCGUGAUUAUGAGUUGUUUGGGGAUGUUAUUUGCUUUGACACCACUUUUCAUACCAACAACUAUAAUCUAGUUUGUGCUCCAAUAGUUGGUGUUAAUAAUCAUGGACAAACCACAAUUUUUGGAUGUGGUGUGUUGGAAGGGGAAACAAGUGAUGCAAUCGUUUGGAUGUUUGAGAAUGUUUUAGAAGUCAUGGGAGGAAAAAAACCGAGUACCAUUUUUACUGAUCAAUCCAUGGCAAUUUCGAAUGCAAUUGCUUUUAUAUUUCCCGAUGCCCAUCAUAGGUUAUGUAUUUGGCAUAUCUUUCAGAAUGGCGCAAAACACUUAGCUAUAGUUGUUGCAGAAUUCGAUAGUUUUUCGCAACGAUUCAAAGAAUGCAUAUAUGAGCCAGAGACAGUUGAAGAAUUUGAGGAGAUUUGGAAAGCAUUACUUGAUGAUUAUGGUUUGGAAGAUAACAAAUGGUUGCAUGGAUUGUACAAAUUGCGAGAAAAGUGGGCUCAAGUUUAUGCCCAUGCUUAUUUUUGUGCUGGUAUAACUACUACACAAAGAAGUGAAAGUAUUAACAAGUUUCUGAAAGCUUAUUUUCCAAGUAAUACACUUCUUCGAGCUUUUGUGGAUCAAUAUACCAAAGCCAUGACUUGUAGACGCCAAAAGGAAAAGGAAGCUGAAACUCAAAUGCGGCAAACGAAACCGAUUUUCUGUUCAGACUGGUCGGUUGAGCGUGAAGCGUCAAAAGUUUAUACAAGGAAGCUAUCUAAUCUUUUCCAAGAAGAGCUUAAACAGAUCAUUGAUCUUCGUAUAAUAUUAGAGAGUGGAGAAGGGACAGUUCAAAUUUAUAAUGUCGAACAAUUGGGUAAAAGAAGGAGAACUCGUAAAGUGACUUAUAAUCAUUUUGAUCAGUCAGCACAAUGCACUUGUCGAAAAUUUCAGUUUGAAGGGAUUUUGUGCUCUCAUGUUUUGAAGCUUUUUCGUGAUUUAGAUCUUGGAAAUCUACCUACUCAAUACUACUUGAAGAGAUGGACUAGGAGUAUCACAGAUGAAGUUGUUUAUGACUCAUAUGGAGAAGUGAUACCAAGUGACAUUGAUCCAAAAUGCACAAGUCGCUACAGUGAGCUCUCACAUAUUUUUCAGAGACUUGUGGUUAAAGGUUCAAAAUCUGACUCAUUAUUUUCGAUUAUCAAGUCAAAGGCGCUAGAGUUUGAGCUUGAGGUGGAUACAAUGGCAAAGAAUGACGAAGAACGUGAGAAGAAUUCAAAGAAAAGUAGUGCUGCCACUCAAAACCAUUCAAUACAAAAUCCUGAUGAGGAGGUAGAGUUGCGUGAUCCACCAAAAAAGAGAGCUCGAGGUGAAUCUAAAACUCGGAAGAAAAGUUGUUUAGAGAAAAAACCAUCCAAGAAGAAAAAAGAUUUGAAACAAACAGGUCAGUUUGCAUGUAUAAUGAUUUAAAUCCUUUGUAUUCUUCAUUUUUAUUGCUAACUUAAAUACUUCAAACAUUAAUCAUUUUGCAGAUUGCUCAAGAGAACAGUUUGGGGUAAGGUCUCAAGUACAGGAUGAUGCAUCAACCUUGAAUCAAUCCACUCAGGUCAUACUUUCAUUUUUUUUCAUCAACUAACUCAGGUUGUUCCUAAAUGUUUAUUGCAACUAUUUUUAUCAAAAUAUGUAAGUGUUUUUUUUCCUUCCAUUUUAAAGCAGGACAACAUUUUUUAUUCGGUUGGUGGAAUGAAAGAGCAAAAUCAGACCAUAACUGAUGACCAAAACAAUCAAGGAUCGGCACGUCGGUUAGACUUCUCAGAUUUAUAAGCUCUAAGCAAGGAGAACUUAGAGGUCAGACUUGCAGCAGCAGCAGACCAGAGGGUGAGGGCACCAACAAUGCUAUUCCCUUGGGCGAAAUGUUUCUAUUUUGUUUUAACUUGUAAUGUCUACCUCUCUUAUGGGUUAGAGCUCUAGUAUUUGAACCCGAUGAGGUUAUUUAACACCCGGUAAUCAGGAUUGUAUAUUUGUUUCUUGGUGAUUAAUAAAAUUCCUAUUCUAUCAAAAUAUAAAUACUAGCUACUUCCUUAAAUUUCUGUUAAAGCUUUCAAUAUUGAAAUUACCAAAACACGGAAAAGAUAAAAAUAAACCAUAUGAACUUAAUGUUUAAUAUUAAUCACUGGAAUUGUAUACUUGAACCAUAUAACUUUCUGAAGGAUCUUGGUGGGUUUGAACCACCAUCUCUUGAGAUGCACUUGCAUUCUCAAUUGCUCUACCUUUUGAGCUAAAGAUCCAAAUUAUCGUAGCUUUAACUUUCUUCAUCCUUAUUCACAUGCAGUGCACUAUAACUAUAAAACCACACACUAUACAAUGGUUUGCUGAAAUAUUAAAGCAUUCCUGCUAUAGCUAAAUUAACAAGCAUCUGUGUGGGUCGCUGGCAUGGCAAUCUAAAAUUAAUGGAAUAAUUCUUCUCAACAUUAACAUGAUCAGCCAGAAGAACAUUACUAACCAUUAAAAAUCAAACCUAAGCUACAAAUGAAAGGAAAACAAGAAUUUCAAGGAUGUCAAAAGGUGGAUGAUGCUUUCAAGCCACAUCUCACAAAAACAGAAAUAUAUACCUGCAAAUGCACUCCACUAGAUAAUGUCAGAUCUUCGAGUGAUACACUAGCUAGCUGUAUGGGGAGAGACUGUAGUCACCCUGGCUAAUGCACAUAUACUCCUCAGAUUGACAAAUAGCUUUGCAGAAACUCUCAGUAUGAUUGCUGCCAACAAAUGCAUUACGCACACUUUUCAGUAGCAAGUAUAUGACUGAGUACUGGAGAUGAAGCGAUUCAUAUAAAACAGGAGAAUCUUUGAUUGCCUAUAUUUAGUCCUUUUCCCAAUAGCUCACAAAAAACAAUUAAGAACUCAAUACAACCAUAACCGGUAUGUCGGGCGAAGCACAACCAAAGUUUUUUAUAUGGGCAGCACCAGUCCAAACCAUGAUUAUGUCCAGUGAAGACAGCCUGCAAAUGUUGAAACACAAUAAACUCACAUAGUUAAAUCCUACUAGUCAAAUUUAAUACUUGUUAAACUAGGUUGCUUGUGCACUUGAUAUAACUUCAUCCCCAAUUCCCCAAAUAUAUGUAACAACUUUCAGUACCAUUUGUAUUAGUAACUAAUAACUUUCAGUACCAUUUGUUGAUGAAGGGCAUUGGUAUUCAGGAAUUCCAGUGGCAGAGAACCAUUCAAUUGGCCACUCAAACGAUGCGUCGUCAUGGUUACCAAAUACAGUAGCCCAAGGUAUACCUCUAGUUCUAGUUGGGGAGAUUGCUUUUUCCCAAUACAAAAUUGCAUUUGUAGUUGGCAAAUUGUUAACUGUAAUUACAUCUCCAAGAUACACUACAAAGUCUGCAAUAUCAUUUAUAAAUCAUCCAUGGUAGAGAUUAGAGAAAUAUAUUAGUAAUUGUUACUGACCUGGUGUUUCUUUGUCGAGUAUAGUUGACAUGACUAUCAGAAUUAACAUCUUGUAUAGGACCCCAAUCAGUCCAUGCAUUUUCUCCAUAAUGAAGAUCAGCAAACACCGCGAUUUUAAAUGAACCAUUUGAUGACAAUUGAAGGUAUUUUUCUGGUGUCUUUUGCAAAAUAAAAGACUCUUCUUCAUCAUCAUCAUGAUGAUGACCUGCUUCUUGAUAACCAAUUGCUAUGGUGAUCAGUAGAGAAAAUAAUACUGUGAAUGAAAUGAAUUGAUGAACUGUCACCAUUGCCACAAAUUCUUGAUGUUAUCAUCAGCCCCAUAAGUCUUUUGUUCGUAAAUGGGGAAGAGGAAGAUGAGGUUCAGAGAGAAACCUUUUUUUUUUUUUUGUUCGUGGGUUUUAACAAUUUCUGUUUUUUAAUUUUUUUUUUUUAAUAUUCGUUUUCUUAAUUUUCUUUUGUUUUUAUUUUUUUAUUUUUUAUUUUUUAUUUUUUAUUUUUUUUUGAAACAAAAAAAUAAGAUUUUAUUGAUAAGCUCAACAAAUUACACAAACGUAGAGGACAAACGCGCUACAAACUGCGCGGCAAGUCCUUUCUGGAUAGCAAACCCGAUUCUCCUAAAUACAUAUUCGUUCGAACCCGCAGUCAUCACGUUGCUAUCCAUUACCUUCUGCACUCUCCUGAGGAGCUCAACUGCUUCUGAGCCUAGUAAUCCAAAUGUGUCAAAUGCAAAGGGGAUGAAGCUAUGUUGGUUAGCCCUACAAGCUCCGUCAUGUUUCUCCACUUUUGCUGUUGCUGCAUUGCUAGCUGCUAGCCCCACCUCAAAAAUCCCAGCCCCCAGCCCAACCAUCGGAGACGCCCCUGUAACAUCAACACACGCAUGUUUACCUUCAGACCAGUUAUAGACCAGAAUAUCAGCAGGACGUAAUGUCGAUCUUCCUUCCUUAGGAUCAGUAAGAAAGUUAACAGGAGCCUCCUUCUUAACCUGUACUCCAGCCCGCCAGAACACAUCACACAAGAUAUCUCUAACGUGGUCAUGCCUGUACUUGAAGCCGGGGUAAUGCUUACAAUGGGCCGCAUGGUCCCCAAAAGCAUCAAGUCUGCUCUUCUUGCACACUGGACAAAGUUCACCAUCUGAAUAAAGAGGGAUCAUCAAUCGAUAACGAAGAAUGGCACGAUAUUCUACCGGGGUCAUGCGUUGUCCAAGCCCUUCCAUCGGGAUGGCAAGGAGAAAAUCUUUGGCAUGUUCUGCUUGCACACAUCCAAUCACGGCUUUUUGUCUAGCUGACAACUCAAAUUCCCUCUCAAGACCAGAACUAAUCUUGCUGUAGUAUGCUUCCGCCAAGACAUGUUGGGGUCUGAAGGGGACGGCUUUUUUUUAUUUUUAAUUUUCUGAUAUUAGAAAAGCUGAUGUGAAAGUUUUUAUGAGGUGGACCAAUAAUAUAAUGCUGUCUUAUGACAGAAAAAAACUGUAUGUCCACAAAAUCGCACUCUCUGAAACAUUAUGCAAUAAUUCUUUUUCAUUCCAUUGUGGAACUAACUUACCUCUUUUCUACUGUCAGAAACACAGAAAAUGCAUUUCUGGGCUAUUGCUGAAUGGGCCCUUAAUUAUCAACCAACAAUUUACCCUGAAUACAUAUGUAGCCCAAGGUACCAUUUACUCAUUCCCGCCUUUCUUCUCAUCUCUGCAAUUCAAGAAAAACACUUUGAAAGUUAAACUCUCGUUUCUCUGAAGAUUCUUGAUUUUCCUGCAAGAUUGAAUCCAAGAAAAGAACGAACGAUUUCGCAACGAAAUAGGUAAAUUGUGGUUUCUAAUCUCUUUGAAUUCUAAUUUUUUGAAAAGCAAAGAUUUAGAGUAAAUUUGAUUGAAACUCACACAUUAUACACAAUUUUAAUGGAAUCAAGAAAUAAAUUGAUGAAGUUUGUUGCUUUAAUUUUAAGAUAAGAAGUGAUGAUUAUAGGUAAUUGUGAACAUUGGGUCAUCAUCCAAAUCUUGUUGUCACAUCAUAUGCUUUGAUGACUUUUCUUGGUAAACAUUUUGUUUUGAGUUGUAAUGGUUAUUGUUGGUUGUGCAAUGAUGAUCGAUAAUUGUGUAUGUGUUUCAAUAUGUGAUACGAUUCGAUGUUUGCGUUCUUGUAUACAUACAUAGUCCAACCAUUUUGCUUGCAAUUUUGUUGCACGUCUUCAACUACUGUUGAUGUAGUUACCUGAUUUUAGUUACUUGUUUGAUGUAAUGUUCUGAUUUAUCCAUUUAGGCAUGUUUAUAUGGUUGAGUAUAUAUGUAGUGGCCGGGGAGAUCGAGAGGGGAGAGAGCAUGUCAUGGUGGGCAUAUUGGGAUAUAUAUUAGAUGUUUUGAGUGACUAAAGGUAUAGCUAGUUGCGCAAGAUGAAUGUUAUAUUACAUUGUUGAUGUUUUUAAUCCAUGAGUCUGUGCUUUUGCUAUUGCAGUAUAACGUGUAUGAUCAGUGCCAUUGGCAUGGAUGUGAAUAGAAGUGCUUCAGCGGAUAAUUCUAAAAAGCAAAAAAUGAUUGGAGGAGAGAGUAAUGGUGAGAACGAUGAUAAAAUUAGCAAUUUAGAUAAAGACAUUCUUCUUGACAUUCUCUCCUUGCUUCCUACCAAGUGUGCUGUAAGUACAAGUGUACUGUCAAGAAGAUGGAAGUAUCUAUGGACUUCAAUCCACAAUCUUGAAUUUAUCAACAGUCUGUUACAUCCCUCCAAUAGAAAGAAUAAAACUCUUUUGGAAAGAAGGAGGAGAGCCUUCACUUGUUUUGUUGAUAAAGUGAUACGUUUCAAUGAUGUUGCUAGUCUACAGAAAUUUAGCCUCACAUGUAGUAAAUGUGAUAAAGAUCAUUUCAACGAGUGGAUCGCUACAGUAAUAAGGCGUAAAGUUCAAGACCUCAUUCUCUCUGUUACAAUGGAUGAACCUUAUGUGUUCCCCCGCGGCCUUUUUACUUAUAAACCUUUUCGUGAGUCUUUGAGGAUAUUGAAACUUGACAUGGAUGUUCAUGUUGAUGUUGCCGUAUUUCUCAGUGAUGAAAGAAUAAAUUUGAUCAAUGGUCUGGCAUCGAUUUUUUUUUCCCAACCUCAAGGUCCUACAUCUUAAGCAUAACAAAAUUUCUGGAUCCGAGUCAAUACAGGAACUUAAUUUAGUUCUCCCUCACCUACAAGAAUGCAUCCUACAUGAUUGUAAAUGGCUGAAGAUCAAGACCCUCACCAUUUCUGCUCCUAACCUAAAGAUGUUAACUAUAUGUGAAGGUUGGGUUGAUGGUUCACAGGAUUGCCUGAUAAAGAUAGAUGCAGAGAGUCUCGUAUCAUUAAAGUUCACGAGUUGUCUUUCAUAUAAGUAUUCUCUAGGAGAACUACCAUCUCUUGUUGAUGCAUAUAUUGAUAUUACUCCUGACAAGGAUAAUGUUGAUUAUGUUCGUACACUUCUUAGAGGGAUUGAAAAUGUGAAGGAUCUUCACUUAACUUUUGAUAGCAUUCAGGUAAGUUUCCCUUUCCUUUUCAGGUUCAUCUAUACUUUACUGUAAUUAUUUUGAGAAUGUAAAGAUGAAUACGUACACUUCAACUUACUGGUGAAUAGGUUUUUUCAGUUCUUGGUACUAAUGCAUUUCAAUUUGGUAUUUCUAGACUCUUGAAGUUGCUUCAGUUAUGCCUACCCUGACCCAUUUGAACCAUCUGAGAGUGGUUUGUGGAUCAAGGCGCUCUGCCAUAAAUGGUUUCAAUUUGCUAAGGUUACUCCUUCGAAUGCCCAACGUUGAGUGUCUUUUUUUCCUUGAUGUAAGUCCCCAAAUCUAAAUUGUUCCGUUCUAAUUUACAAUUUCUUGCUCGAUCUUCAUGCAAUUGCUUUUGUAAUUUCUAAUUUUAUUGUAUUUUCCCUUUAUAUAGGGAGUUGAUUUAUUAAGGUUUAGAGGAUAUAGUGAUUUAAAAGUUGAUCAUGACUAUCUGUCCCACCUUAAGCUAUCUGAGAUCCAGUCUUAUGCAUGGAAAUGGGAUGAGCUAUGGAUUGUUGGGCUACUGAUGAAAACUGCAAGAAACAUGGAGUAUUUUUCUAUCACAACGCGGGCAGAUUACAAUGCUGAACUUUUACAUUAUGAAGUGCAAGAGAAGCAUUUCAAACAUUUAAAAAAACAUGCUAGAGAGUUGAACUAUGUGAUUGAGUUUGACUGAAACAUUCGCGACAAUGUUAUGUUUUGAACUUGUAAGUAUCAACUUUGAAUUAUGCCUUUUUCCUAUAAUCCCUUUAUUAUUGCUUUUCAUGUCAUUUUCUUCUUGCUAUUAAUGGUCUGGUAAUUAAAGUUUAAUAAACUAGGAUUCCUCGUGGCAGUUACUCUGAACUCACUGCUGCAUGCAUACAAGCAAUUGUUUGUGCAGUCUUACCCCUUGGCUUCUUUUGCAAAGUCGAACCUUAGGGCACUUGGCAGAUUGAUGUCUAAUUGUCUAUUUAAACUGUUUCAAUAUUAAUUAGAUUUGUUAUGAAAUACAUUGCGUUGAUGGUUUGCCAUUAUAAUGACCUUGUCUUGUGGGUAUUAUAUUUGCUUUCAGGUUGUGUAUCUGGAUGGCAAGUAGAAUUUUUGUUGUUGUCAUUCACAUUGGAGGUGCUGAAGAGUUUUGGAAGCAAGUACAAAUCAGCUUCAAUAUAGAAUAACUGAUAUGUCGUAAAACAUUAAGCACGGCACUGUCAAUGUUAUGGGGCAUAUAUGGAUUUGUGAAGUAAAAUUUAACUUGUUGUCUACACAUUUCUGUUCCAUUUAGUGUUUUGCUCAUUUUCUGCCUGAAACUGGAUAUGCUGAUCAAAGAACAUAAUUCCCCGCAUUUGCUUACAAUAGCAUAAAUAAACUCUCUCCUGUUACUUGUUUGGCCUGUUUUACUAUGGGUCAUUUAGACUUUGGGCCCUGUUUUAAUUCAAUAUUAGACAUUGGAUCCCUUUUGUUACGAAAUUAGACAUUGCAUACAUAUUGUCAAACCGAAAGAAAAAACCAUAUAAUAUUUUUGAAAUGGCCAAAAUACCCAGUAUCGUGCUUGUCAUGUGCUUCUUUGGUUACAAGAUAAGAAUGGACAAGUGUCCCUCAAUUAGUAGUUUGUUAAUAUCUAACCAUUGAUUUGGUGACCCACACAGAUCUCGAUAAAUAUAGCAUGGGAAAUUUGUGACGCGUAUCAAUUUUGUUGUGGUAUAUUUUAACGGUGAAUAUCUAACCAUUCAUCUGAAAUUUGUGACGCGUAUCAAUUUGGUUGAUCUAACAAAGAAAAUCGUGUUUUUUGGUUGAUAUAUUUUGUGAGUUUGGAAGGUAAACAGCUGAACUGCUGAAGCUUGGUAACUGUAAACCCAAAUUUUUUAAUAUUCUUUUAAAAUUCAAGUUUGUGUUUGUUUUUGUGUUGGGUGAUGUUAAAAAAUCAAUUAUUUUGUUUGGUUGAUGUUAAAAAUUCAAAUUUUCUACAUUGUAAAUGGUUGAGCUGUAGGGUUUAUUGUUACAAGUAUUGCAAGUGUACAUUGAUACUCUGUUUUAAAUUUGAUGUCUUGAUAGUUCAUACUCUGUUUUCAAUUUGAUCCAGUACGAUGUUGAGGCAGACUUUGUGAUAUAUUAGAAUGGUAUAGUGAAGAUGAAAUAUUAUAGUGGGGUUCGUAGCCCGUUAGAUGUUGUGUGAUGGAUAUAUGACAUGUGCCAUUUUUUUGUUUGAAUUUUGAACAGAGUUUAAGUUUUAUAUGUUUUUUCAUGUAUGAGGGUAUUUUUGCCUUUAGAAAAUAUUUUCGGUUCAAUUCGGUUUUUUUGAAAGACUAGAUGCCAACGUGUCUGCAAUGUCUAAUUUCGCAACAAAAAAGAUCUAAUGUCUAAUAUUGAAUUAAAACAGGGGCCAAAGUCUAAAUGACCCUAUAAGUUUUCCCAAGUUUAUUUUUGCCAAUAUUAAGUUGUGAAAGCGGGAACCAAAUUCAAGCUUAAAUAGUUGGAAAAUGAUUAAUCGUUAAAAAGUGUAACUAUAUCUAGAAUGGAACCAAAUUUAAGGAUUUAUUGAAUCAUCUCUUUUCCCUUAUUAUAUUUGUUCACUUACCAAAUUAUUGUGUUCUGGUAAAAGAUUUUAAUUAUGUGUGGAACCUUGUUGUCAUGGAUGCAAGUUUUUCUGCAGAUUAUUCUAAAAUGCAAAAAGCUGUUUGAAGCAUAAUAGCAGUAAUGAUGAGAACAACAAUAGAAUUAGCAAUUUACACGUGAUAUUCUGCAUUUGUACAUUCUCUUCUUUUUGGUCUAUUUAUUUUCAAAUUUGCUCAUUUAACUUUAUUCCAUCUCUUUCCAACCGAGGGGCAACUGGACUGACACUGCUCUAGCUUGUCUUAACUCUGCCGAAAUCAAGUCUAGCUUGUAAGGAGCUAGUUGGCAGGAACUCUGCAUUUAGUCGCGGCUCUGUCUCAGAGACAUACACAAGUCCACUUGAUUCCAACUAUUUAGUAUCCCUAAACUUUCAAAACAACAGAUUUGAUGGAGCUAUUAUAGAAACAAGGUCAAAAUUGAAGAAAGAGAAGAACAAUGAGGUGAAGAUCAACGAAGAUGAUUGAGAUCGAGCAAUGAAAGUUAGAAAAUUGAUGAACAAUUAAGGACAAGAACAACAACAACGAAGGAAAAAGUGAAAAAAAAUAAACUCUUUGCUGUGAUUUCACAUAGGUAUUAUCGACAAAUCAAGGGUAAGUUGGUAAAAUUAUACAUCAAUUACACAAGACACCGCAAUUAUACGGCCAAUUCUAUAUUAUACGGCCAAAUGUUUAUUAUUCAGUCAACAUACGGUGACCAGGUCAGAGUUGAGUUGACUGUUAGUGUUAACGCAGCUGAGACUGAAUGGUGACGAACUGCAAAUAAAAAAAAAGUGGUGACGCUGAGCAAAUUUACCCUAAUAAAGUGGUGACGAAAGUCCAAUUUUCUCUAAUAAUUAACUCAAUGCAUAUGCUGACUACAAUCAGAGUGGUAGUAGGUGUCUACAUCUAGAAGUACUGGUGAGUUGUGAGAGCUGACUGGAUAUUGAUACUGGUGAGUUUAAUUCUAACAGCCAGGUAUACACUUUCAGAGGUUUCAAAUGCUCUUCCUUUCUUUCAAUAACACUACAGAUUUCUAAGGAUCGAACAAGGAUCAUUUUAAUUUGUUUCAAUGCAAGAAUUUGAGCUACAUAUGUGGUACAUUUCCAUACAAUCACAAUACAAGGAAAACAAAAACAGGGUUAAAAAGGUUCUAUUCAAUCUACAGUGUCUGUAAGACUAACUUUCCUAGUAUAUAACCUCUCAGAAACUAUGGGAAUUCAAGUUGCUUGGUUUACUCCGCAAGCAAAUUCUUUGAAGGUUGUGAAUGAGCCUGUGGCUCAAUGGUAGCACCCCUCUCACAAAGUGGAGAGAUUUUAGGUUCAAACAUGUCAACAGCUGAUUGUUGAUAAAAUUUCCACAAGUAAUUUAAAAAGGGUAGUGGUCCCCUCAACCACACUUGCCAAUCAAAAAAAAAAAAAAAAUUUAAAGGCUUUUACUUCAAUUGCCACAGAUGCUCUAAAGACCAAUCAGCAAUUUACAAAGGGGAGAACAAGAAAAUGAAGAAGCGAUGGGUGGUUCCAGUAUCUCAUUCAUGAAUCAAUCUACAUUCCAAGACUUACAAAAUAUAGCAGAAGAGAGUUUGGUUCCAGUAUCUCACUCUUGAAUCAAUCUACAUUCCAAGACUUACAAGCACAACAUCAUGCUAAGGAGUUUCAUGGAAAACGUCACCUUCAUUUCUCACUUCAGGAAGAAUUCACGAAAUAUGCCUAUACAUUCAUGAUUUGAUUCAUUCACCAAAAGAAAAUCCGUCACCAUGGAUGCGGUUGUUGCAUCCCCAGAGAAACCUCUCUCAUCCAUUACCUUAAAAAAUUCCACUGCUUUAUGAGUAUCAUUUUUCUUGAGAAAUCCUUGAAUUAUGAUAUUGAAAGUCCAAUUAUCUGGAGCAAAACCCUUCUCCUCCAUCUCUGCAAAUAAACUCUCAGCAUCACUUAACAUCCCUUUAUUACAAAAUCCAUUAAUCAUUAUAUUAUACGUUCUUGUGUCAAGCUGCAAAUCCUUUGUAGAGAGACCGCGAAAUAGUUCCAUUGCCUCAUUUAACUUCCCCGCCUUGCACAUAUUGUCGACGAUGAUGCUGUAGAUUACCACAUUUGCCUUUAAUCCAGUGCUCUCCAUCUUAUGAACCAGUUUCAUUGCUUCUGAAAGACAUCCAUUACAGCACAAUCCAUCUAUUAAUGAAGCAUAUGUUAUAAUAUCUGGAUUCUGCCCGCAGUUUUGCAUAUCUUCGAAAAGCUGUUGAGCAACCUCGACUCUUCCAGCCUUGCAUAGGCCAUCAAUAAGGAUGCUCCAUGUAACCACAUCGGGAGUCAAUCCUAUGUCAUUCAUAUCUUGGAAAAGUAGCACAGCCUCAUCAACUCUCUUAGCCUUGCAAUACCCAUCAAUGAAACUGCUAAAGGUUAUAACAUUAGGUUUUAGACCUCUACCCAGCAUUGAAUUGAAAACUCUUAUUGCCUCUUCUAUUUGACCUCUUAAACAAUAUCCAUCUAUUAAGGCAUUGUAUGUGACUGUAUUAGGCAUAAUAUCUGUUUCACUCAUAAGCUCUAAUAGUUCACUUCCUUCUUUAGCCAUACCAUCCUUGCAAAGAGCAUCCACCAAUAUGUUAUAUGUUUGCACAUUCGGCGAGAAUCCUUGAGUGAUGAUAUCACUGAAGAAUUGAGUUGCUUCUUCGCGCUGACCCGAAAUGCAUAAGCCAUAAAUUAAAGCAUUAUAUGUAGCAGCAGUAGCCUUUACACCCUUUUGACGCAUCAAAUCUAAUAUCUGAAAUGCUUCAUCAGCUCUCUUUUCUUUGCAAAGAGCAUCAAUCAGAAUAGUAUAAGUGAUCACAUUUGGUUUGAUUCCCUUAUCCAGCAUAUCUUGAAACACAUAUUUGGCCCCUUUAUGAUAACCAAUCUUGCAUAAUCCAUCAAUUAAAGAGCUGUAAGUAACAACACUUGGUAUAAUUCCUUGGGUUUUGGUCAUUUCUUGAUAAAGAUGGAGAGCAUCCUGUAAUCUAUUUUCUUUGCAAAGUGUGUCAAUAAUCGCAUUAUACCCUUGAAGAUUAGGUUUAAGGUUUCGUUUUUGCAAUUCCCUCAACAACUUAAGG